UUGCAGGUCUCCAUGCAAGACCACUGCACCGAUUCCCAAAUGGUAAAUUAAAACAAAUUGGGCCACAAAUGGUCCAAGAUGAACACAGGGAUAGCUCAGUUCUGAAGCACAUGAACACUGAUGUGAAACCCAAGAAGCAAUUACCAGUUCCCGCUGAGUUCUGCAGACAGGGAACAGAACCUUCCAGACGCUUCCUGAUGGACCUGAACACUGGGAUGCUCAAGCGUGGAGUUGGCGAAAUGAACAGAAGAGUUUCAGGAUUGGAUGAGUUCAGACAAGGCACUGAGAACAAGCUGCACACCCUGCAAGAGCUCAGAAUGCGUCCCAUGAUGAGAUCGCAGUACAGCGCUCAGAGCGAAAAACACGAGCAGAGAGCAAUCCCUGCCGAGGUGUACAGAAAAGGCACUGAAACUUCUAGAAAUGUCCUGAUGGACCAGAACACCGGUCUGCUCAAAGAACACAGGAACGAGAUGGACAGGAGAGUAGGGGGCUGUAAGUCUCACUUUCUAAUGGAGAUUGUCCAUUGGUCUACCAGCUAGAGUAGCAAUAAACCAGUGCUAAUCAACAUAAACCAUCCAAAGUAAAGUCUAAUUGGUCUUUUUAGCAGGUAAUUUGGCUUUCUCAGCAAUCCUUUACCAGUCUGGACUAAUGUUUUCUAUCACCUUCAUUAGCAGCUAAAUGGGAAGUGGUUUCUGAGCAUGAGGACAUAAGAAGCCAAGACUCUUCUGAACAUAAGGAGAAUCACAAAGCAGUUCCUGUUGAGAUCCGCAGGCAGGGAACAGAACCUUCCAGACGCAUCCUGAUUGACACGAACACUGGGAUGCCCAAGGAGGAACUCAGCGAAAUGAACAGAAGAGUUUCCGGCUUCUACAAUCCAGCACCUAUUGAGAAGAGGCAAGGAACAGAACCUUCCAGCCGCUUCCUGAUGGACAUGGACACUGGGAUGCUCAAGCAUGAAGUUGGCGAAAUGAACAGAAGAGUUUCUGGCUGUAUGUCUGCAAAGCCAUUUUUUUUUUUAAAUAUCAACGCACCGCUGCACAAACAAGACACUGAACCUUCCAGAAACCUCCUGAUGGACCUGAACGCCGGUCUACUCAAAGAACAUAGGAAUGAGAUGGACAGGAGAGUAGGGGGCUCAGCUAAAUGGGAAGUGGUUUCGGAGCAUGAGGACAUAAGAAGCCAAGACUCUUCUGAACAUAAGGAGAAUCACAAAGCAGUUCCUGUUGAGAUCCGCAGGCAGGGAACAGAACCUUCCAGACGCAUCCUGAUUGACACGAACACUGGGAUGCCCAAGGAGGAACUCAGCGAAAUGAACAGAAGAGUUUCUGGCUGUAAGUCUGCAAAAUAAUUUGCAUUAUAGAUUU
RNAcentral lists this long non-coding RNA (1364 nucleotides) under Sinocyclocheilus anshuiensis. RNAcentral's name for it is "lncRNA (ENSSANG00000041258.1)". Lineage: Eukaryota; Metazoa; Chordata; Actinopteri; Cypriniformes; Cyprinidae. The record is from RNAcentral.